AAAAAUAGUAAGACUUUCCCACAAAGCUCCCUUUUGGUCUGCAAUUCAACCAGAAUGGCCUCGCAGAAAUCCAGGAAUUAUCAGAGGAUUGAGCAAAUGGCCUCUCCAGCAGACGACGUCUCUGUCUGGCUCUUCCUCUCUCUCUCUCUCUCUCUCUCUCUCUUCAAAUCACACUCCCGUCCCGCCUGUCUCGACAACUAGAGCUUUUCCACAAAGAAUUUAUCUUCCACAAAGGUUUCUGUUUGUUUGUAGAGAGCAUUGCUGGUUCUUCGAAGUGUUAUGAACCGGUUCAGUAUGCUGCAUUUAAAGACUGUGAGUGAAAACAGUGCAUAAAAGUUUGUGUUGCAUGUUUCCACUCCUGACCUCUGGAGUUCAGCUUGUCCACACCUGGCUUCCUUUAGCCUUCUAUAGAGAGACUCUUGUCAUAUAGAGAGGGAACAGGGUCCAAAUGAUUAACAAACACAUGGAGAAAGAAACACAAUCGGUUCCUCUGAUGAUACUGGGUGUAACGCCACUGUUUAGCUUCUCACGGAAAAGAAAAUGCCUUUGUUAAAGAGCCAUGGUGUGUGUAUGAAAGAGCCAUAGUCGAUUACAAAUUUAGUGGGUUUGACUAAAUUAGGUAUUUAUGAAAAUAAAAAUAUUGGCCAAGACUCAUUAUGAACAAUACAAAAGGAUCUUAAGAACCCCAAAAGGGAGGCCAAACUACGUGAAAAUGCAUGGCAGAUGUGUUUCCCUGGCAACAGCAAGGUCACGAGAAGCCUGCCUUUACGGGGAACAGAAAAGACAUUUCCUGUGUGUGCCGCCCAGUGGACAGAAAUGAAGGGGGCUGGAGGGGUGGCAGGAAACAACAGUGGCACUGCUGGGUUCACUUACUGCCCUGCUGGAGCCUCCGCCGCCACUGGACUACUGCUUCUGAAACCUCCUGCUGUUUGGGGUUCCUCAUCAUAAAUCCAGUACGGCUCUCAUAAAAACAGUUUUCCAACCACAAGAUGAAAGAUGAAAGACAGAGCAUUUGGAGAGACGUCUCGAUUUCACUCCUUCACACAUGAACAGCUGCAUCAAACUGCACCAGAUAUACACAGACUGUAAGUAACAGAAUAUUUAUAGCUAAACCUGAAUUACCAGGUAAUCUCUCGCUUCCUACUGAA
Molecule: long non-coding RNA, 1148 nt
Filed under: Carassius auratus (goldfish)
Lineage: Eukaryota; Metazoa; Chordata; Actinopteri; Cypriniformes; Cyprinidae
Description: lncRNA (ENSCARG00000038146.1)
Source: RNAcentral